GAUGAAGAACGUAGCGAAAUGCGAUAAGUAGUGUGAAUUGCAGAAUUCAGUGAAUCAUCGAAUCUUUGAACGCAUAUUGCGCUCUUUGGUAUUCCGAAGAGCAUGCUUGUUUGAGUAUCAGUAAACACCUCAAAGUCUUUUUUUCUUGAAGAAAAAGACCUUGGACUUGAGCAAUCCCAACUCUUCUUUCAGAAGAGGCGGGUUGCUUGAAAUGCAGGUGCAGCUGGACAUUCUCCUGAGCUAAAAGCAUAUUCAUUUAGUCCCGUCAAACGGAUUAUUACUUUUGCUGCAGCUAACAUAAAGGGAGUUUGACCAUUUUGGCUGACUGAUGCAGGAAUUUCACAAGAGUCUUCAAAACGCUCUUGUUAAACUCGAUCUCAAAUCAAGUAAGACUACCCGCUGAACUUAAGCAUAUCAAUAAGCGGAGGA
RNAcentral lists this unclassified non-coding RNA (429 nucleotides) under soil metagenome. Its description in RNAcentral is "partial contains 5.8S ribosomal RNA, internal transcribed spacer 2, and large subunit ribosomal RNA". The stretch from base 1 to 120 matches the Rfam family "5.8S ribosomal RNA", at positions 35 to 154 of the family's 154-position model. The record is from RNAcentral.